AUGAAGCGGCGUGCCACCAUGGACCCCCACCAGGAGCAGCCGGCGGAAAGCUACAAGAUCCAUGUGAAGAUGCUGAAAACAGUUGCCAUUGAUGUGAGCUGCACCGAUACAGUUGAUCAUAUUAAAACUAAAGUUAGUGCCAUUGAGGGGAUUGACAAAUGCUUGCAAGAGCUAUUCUUUUCUGGUAUUCACUUGAAGAAUGAUGACAAGCUUGCUGAUUACAACAUCAUGACAAACUCUUCUGUUGACCUUUUCGUCACUGAUGGGAUGCAAAUUUCUGUCAAGAUUCCCUCGGUUGGGAAGACCAUCAAUCUCAAUGUCAGGAAAUCCAACAAGGUGGCUGAUGUCAAAGCAGAGAUUGAACAAAAAGUGGGAAUUCUAAUGAACAACCAAAUCCUGAUGUAUGCAGGUCGACAGCUUGAGGACAAUCAGCUGUUAAGUCAGUGCGACUUGAGGAAUGAGCAGCCACUUCAUGUUUUGGUUAGCCCGGUUGACAAGCUGCGUAUUUUUGUCAAUGUUAGAGGUGAAAGAACUGUUAGUGUAAAUGUGAAAUGCUGGUAUACUGUUGCUGAUGUCAAGUUGAUGAUUGAGACAUCGGAGGACAUCAAAAGGCGUCAAAAUCCAUGA
Molecule: ribosomal RNA, 627 nt
Filed under: Triticum aestivum (bread wheat)
Lineage: Eukaryota; Viridiplantae; Streptophyta; Magnoliopsida; Poales; Poaceae
Description: partial small subunit ribosomal RNA
Source: RNAcentral